CAUCCCAACAGAUUAAUACCAUACUACAAAUGCUAUCAAGUAUCACAUUAAUGUUAUUCUUAAUUAUAGUAUGAAUAGUAAGACAUUGAGCCUUAUUACUGCUUUGACUACUCUAGGGGGCUGGCAAACUCAUUGAAUGAGUUCAAGCUCCCAAAAUCCAUUAUGCACAAGCACAACAUUCUAAAAGGAAAUUUAGGUUGAGGGG
Molecule: long non-coding RNA, 205 nt
Filed under: Elaeis guineensis (African oil palm)
Lineage: Eukaryota; Viridiplantae; Streptophyta; Magnoliopsida; Arecales; Arecaceae
Description: long non-coding RNA (EGUI_LNC048788)
Source: RNAcentral